This 120-nucleotide microRNA precursor is filed under the name Glycine soja. RNAcentral describes it as "MIR1520 microRNA precursor family". It matches the Rfam family "MIR1520 microRNA precursor family". Lineage: Eukaryota; Viridiplantae; Streptophyta; Magnoliopsida; Fabales; Fabaceae. The record is from Rfam by way of RNAcentral.
UUCUUAUUGAAUCAUAACUUUCACAAUUCAUUUUUUUAUUAACCAAUGACGACAACAAUGUAUUUCAUCUUUCAUGAAGUUGACAUUUAAUCAAAAUAUAACACGUGACAGUCAUAAUCC